GCAGGGUGAGUCGACCCCUAAGGCGAGGCUGAAAAGCGUAGUCGAUGGGAAACAGGUUAAUAUUCCUGUACUUGGUGUUACUGCGAAGGGGGGACGGAGAAGGCUAGGCUAGCCGGGCGACGGUUGUCCCGGUUUAAGCGUGUAGGGGGUGUGACCUGGUAAAUCCGGUUACAUAUCAACCCUGAGGCGUGAUGACGAUGCACUACGGUGCAGAAGUAGUUGAUGCCCUGCUUCCAGGAAAAGCCUCUAAGCUCUAGGUAACAUUGAAUCGUACCCCAAACCGACACAGGUGGUCAGGUAGAGAAUACCAAGGCGCUUGAGAGAACUCGGGUGAAGGAACUAGGCAAAAUGGUGCCGUAACUUCGGGAGAAGGCACGCUGGCAUGUAGGUGAAGUCCCUUGCGGAUGGAGCUGAAGCCAGUCGAA
Molecule: ribosomal RNA, 425 nt
Filed under: Serratia marcescens
Lineage: Bacteria; Pseudomonadati; Pseudomonadota; Gammaproteobacteria; Enterobacterales; Yersiniaceae
Description: bacterial LSU rRNA
Rfam family: Bacterial large subunit ribosomal RNA
Source: RNAcentral